This 253-nucleotide ribosomal RNA is filed under the name uncultured bacterium. RNAcentral describes it as "partial 16S ribosomal RNA". It matches the Rfam family "Bacterial small subunit ribosomal RNA", at positions 524 to 776 of the family's 1533-position model. The record is from RNAcentral.
UACGUAGGGUGCAAGCGUUAAUCGGAAUUACUGGGCGUAAAGCGUGCGCAGGCGGUUUUGCAAGUCUGUCGUGAAAGCCCCGGGCUCAACCUGGGAAUUGCGAUGGAGACUGCAAGGCUUGAAUCUGGCAGAGGGGGGUAGAAUUCCACGUGUAGCAGUGAAAUGCGUAGAGAUGUGGAGGAACACCGAUGGCGAAGGCAGCCCCCUGGGUCAAGAUUGACGCUGAUGCACGAAAGCGUGGGGAGCAAACAGG